UUUCCGUAGGUGAACCUGCGGAAGGAUCAUUCAUAAAACGUGUAUUAUGUCUCUUUUUUCAAUCCGUAUCUACUUUGUUUGCAAUGUCAUGGCUUGUUUUUAUACCGAGAUGGUCAGCCCCUAACAUCAACUAUAUCUUAACUCUUUGUCUGAAAUAUAUUAUGCAUAAAACAACGCAGAAUUCAACUUUCAACAACGGAUCUCUUGGCUCUC
This 213-nucleotide unclassified non-coding RNA is filed under the name plant metagenome. RNAcentral describes it as "partial contains small subunit ribosomal RNA, internal transcribed spacer 1, and 5.8S ribosomal RNA". The record is from RNAcentral.